This 69-nucleotide transfer RNA is filed under the name Cephalopterus ornatus (amazonian umbrellabird). It matches the Rfam family "tRNA". From Rfam's summary of the family: Transfer RNA (tRNA) molecules are approximately 80 nucleotides in length. Their secondary structure includes four short double-helical elements and three loops (D, anti-codon, and T loops). Lineage: Eukaryota; Metazoa; Chordata; Aves; Passeriformes; Cotingidae. RNAcentral also lists the same sequence under 1 other name. The record is from Rfam by way of RNAcentral.
AAGGUUCUAGCUUAAUAAAAGCGUUUGAGUUGCAUUUAGAAGAUGCAGGUUAGUAUCCUGCGAAUCUUA